CAUGUCCUUUUGAUUUUAAUUUAAGGUCUGGUCUGCUCAAUGAAAGUUUAAAUUGCCGCAGUAUUUUGACUGUGCAAAGGUAGCAUAAUAAUUAGUUUCUUGAUUAGAAACUGGAAUGAAUGAUUGGACGAGAAAGUGGCUGUCUCUUGGGGAUGGUUUAUUGAAUUUUAUUUUUAAGUUAAAAAGCUUAAAUUUUUAUAAAAGACGAGAAGACCCUAUAGAGUUUAAUAUUUAUUAAUUUAUUUGAUUUUGGUAAGUUUAUUGGAUAGUAAGUAUUUAGUUGGGGUGACUUGGAGAUUUAAUUAAUUCUUUAAUUUUUUAAUUGUUGAUAAAUAAUUUAAAAAUCUAGUUUUCUAAAUUUAAAAUUAAUUACCUUAGGGAUAACAGCGUAAUUUUUCUUUAAAGUUCUUAUUAAAAGAAGAUUUUGCGACCUCGAUGUUGGAUUAAAAUUAAUUUUUGGUGCAGUAACUAAAAAAUUAGGUCUGUUCGACCUUUAAAAUUUUACAUGAUCUGAGUUUAAACCGGUGUAAGCCAGGUUGGAUUCUAUCUUUAGUUUGAUUAUAUAUUUUAGUACGAAAGGACCAAAUAUAUAUUAGAUUUAAUUG
This 605-nucleotide ribosomal RNA is filed under the name Micronychus sp. UPOL MT0017. RNAcentral describes it as "partial 16S ribosomal RNA". It matches the Rfam family "Bacterial large subunit ribosomal RNA", at positions 1816 to 2715 of the family's 2925-position model. Lineage: Eukaryota; Metazoa; Arthropoda; Insecta; Coleoptera; Lycidae. The record is from RNAcentral.